This 253-nucleotide ribosomal RNA is filed under the name uncultured bacterium. RNAcentral's name for it is "partial 16S ribosomal RNA". It matches the Rfam family "Bacterial small subunit ribosomal RNA", at positions 524 to 776 of the family's 1533-position model. The record is from RNAcentral.
UACGUAGGGUGCAAGCGUUAAUCGGAAUUACUGGGCGUAAAGCGUGCGCAGGCGGUUAUGUAAGACAGGUGUGAAAUCCCCGGGCUUAACCUGGGAACUGCAUUUGUGACUGCAUAGCUAGAGUACGGUAGAGGGGGAUGGAAUUCCGCGUGUAGCAGUGAAAUGCGUAGAGAUGCGGAGGAACACCGAUGGCGAAGGCAGCCCCCUGGGCUAACACUGACGCUCAGGCACGAAAGCGUGGGGAGCAAACAGG